CCUACGGGGGGCUGCAGUGGGGAAUAUUGGACAAUGGGGGGAACCCUGAUCCAGCCAUGCCGCGUGUGUGAAGAAGGCCCUCGGGUUGUAAAGCACUUUCAGUGAGGAAGAACGCCUGGUGGUUAAUACCCAUCAGGAAAGACAUCACUCACAGAAGAAGCACCGGCUAACUCCGUGCCAGCAGCCGCGGUAAUACGGAGGGUGCGAGCGUUAAUCGGAAUUACUGGGCGUAAAGCGCGCGUAGGUGGCUUGAUAAGCCGGUUGUGAAAGCCCCGGGCUCAACCUGGGAACGGCAUCCGGAACUGUCAAGCUAGAGUGCAGGAGAGGAAGGUAGAAUUCCCGGUGUAGCGGUGAAAUGCGUAGAGAUCGGGAUGAAUACCAGUGGCGAAGGCGGCCUUCUGGACUGACACUGACACUGAGGUGCGAAAGCGUGGGUAGCAAACAGGAUUAGAUACCCUAGUAGUC
RNAcentral lists this ribosomal RNA (465 nucleotides) under Vreelandella stevensii. RNAcentral describes it as "partial 16S ribosomal RNA". It matches the Rfam family "Bacterial small subunit ribosomal RNA", at positions 338 to 795 of the family's 1533-position model. The record is from RNAcentral. Lineage: Bacteria; Pseudomonadati; Pseudomonadota; Gammaproteobacteria; Oceanospirillales; Halomonadaceae.